RNAcentral lists this small RNA (186 nucleotides) under Arabidopsis thaliana (thale cress). RNAcentral describes it as "ATSL170620". The record is from RNAcentral. Lineage: Eukaryota; Viridiplantae; Streptophyta; Magnoliopsida; Brassicales; Brassicaceae.
UCAUGACCAUCAAAGACAGUUUAUAAAUUUAAAAUAUUAGUCAAACAAAUAAAUUGAUACUUUAAAAACUUAUAUGAGUACUAGAUAAGGUUCGCCCAAAUAGACGGGUAUAUAAAUGUAAACUUUUCUUAAUAGUAUUUGAAUUUUGAAUAUAGUAAUUUAUUCUUUCUUCUUGAUAUUUAAUUU